UAGGGAAUCUUCCACAAUGGACGCAAGUCUGAUGGAGCAACGCUGCGUGAGUGAAGAAGGUCUUCGGAUCGUAAAACUCUGUUGUUAGAGAAGAACACGAGUGAGAGUAACUGUUCAUUCGAUGACGGUAUCUAACCAGCAAGUCACGGCUAACUACGUGCCAG
Molecule: ribosomal RNA, 164 nt
Filed under: uncultured bacterium
Lineage: Bacteria
Description: partial 16S rRNA
Rfam family: Bacterial small subunit ribosomal RNA
Source: RNAcentral